AGCAGCCGCGGUAAUUCCAGCUCCAAUAGCGUAUAUUAAAGUUGUUGCAGUUAAAAAGCUCGUAGUUGAAUUUCGGGAUUGACGUGAUGGUCGUGCCUUAAGGGGUAUGAACUGUUGCAGUCAAUUUCUCACCUUCUGGAGAAAUAUAAUGUCCUUAAUUGGGUGUUAUAUGAAACCAGAACUUUUACCUUGAAAAAAUUAGAGUGUUUAAAGCAGGCAUAUUGCUCGAAUACAUUAGCAUGGAAUAAUAAAAUAGGACGGCAUGGUUCUAUUUUGUUGGUUUCUAGGAUCGAUGUAAUGAUUAAUAGGGAUAGUUGGG
RNAcentral lists this ribosomal RNA (319 nucleotides) under uncultured Entrophospora. RNAcentral's name for it is "SSU rRNA". It matches the Rfam family "Eukaryotic small subunit ribosomal RNA", at positions 569 to 886 of the family's 1831-position model. The record is from RNAcentral. Lineage: Eukaryota; Fungi; Glomeromycota; Glomeromycetes; Entrophosporales; Entrophosporaceae.